UCCCAUUACAAGCUUUGACUUUAAGGUUGGUGGUAACAGGAGAGUGAAGUAGCAGCAGUAGCUCUUUACUUGCGGAAUGAAGGAGAUGAAGUUGUUAUGGUAGCAGCGAGGGUAGGGGGNNNNNNNNNNUGAAGCCGCAAAAACCCACUCCUCACAUUUCUCUUAUUUCUUAAUUCUCUAUUUCCUCUCUCAAUAUCAGAUUACAUUAGAUUAGGGUGGCUUGGUUUCAGAUUAUAGUUAGAUCAGAUUAUCUCUAGACUGCGAUAAACACUCUUCUCUCUCUCUCUCUCUCUCUCUCUNNNNNNNNUUCCUGCAAAACCAGAAGCUGACACCAUGUAGAUUUUACUCCCAACAAAAAUAAAAGAGAGAGGGACAGAGAAAAAGAAACGCCACAAAGAAAAGAGACUUGGAAGAAAGAGAAAG
RNAcentral lists this unclassified non-coding RNA (423 nucleotides) under Hevea brasiliensis (rubber tree). Lineage: Eukaryota; Viridiplantae; Streptophyta; Magnoliopsida; Malpighiales; Euphorbiaceae. The record is from RNAcentral.